Molecule: ribosomal RNA, 497 nt
Filed under: uncultured bacterium
Lineage: Bacteria
Description: partial 16S ribosomal RNA
Rfam family: Bacterial small subunit ribosomal RNA
Source: RNAcentral
GAUGAACGCUGGCGGCGUGCCUAAUACAUGCAAGUCGAGCGAACAGACGAGGAGCUUGCUCCUCUGACGUUAGCGGCGGACGGGUGAGUAACACGUGGAUAACCUACCUAUAAGACUGGGAUAACUUCGGGAAACCGGAGCUAAUACCGGAUAAUAUAUUGAACCGCAUGGGUCAAUAGUGAAAGACGGUUUUGCUGUCACUUAUAGAUGGAUCCGCGCCGCAUUAGCUAGUUGGUAAGGUAACGGCUUACCAAGGCAACGAUGCGUAGCCGACCUGAGAGGGUGAUCGGCCACACUGGAACUGAGACACGGUCCAGACUCCUACGGGAGGCAGCAGUAGGGAUUCUUCCGCAAUGGGCGAAAGCCUGCCGGAGCAACGCCGCGUGAGUGAUGAAGGUCUUCGGAUCGUAAAACUCUGUUAUUAGGGAAGAACAAAUGUGUAAGUAACUAUGCACGUCUUGACGGUACCUAAUCAGAAAGCCACGGCUAACUACGUG